GCGCUUUUUUUCUGAGUUAACUGUUGCUCGAUGCAGAACACUUUUGUAUCUGCCAUUGCUCAAUACUUCCAUUUGAUCUCCCAAUUGAACAAUGAGAGCUCCUUCAAUGAGUGGAACUGAAUGCCACUUUUCAUCUCGAUCCAUGAUUUGCAAGCCCAGAUGGUUUUGAAGAAUGAUUGUUAGCAUACCAUAAUCUGUAUGUGGUGGCAAUCCUAGUGUAAGAUCUGGCUCAGGACAUGCUGGAUAGCAAUUAACUGCCAUGACCUGGGAACCUUCUGCAAUGUCUUCAUUUGCAGGUGACAUGGACACGACACGACAGUGCAUGACAAGUAGUACCUGGAAGAAACCAAAUUUCUUGCAAGCCAGGUGUACUUCCUGGAUUAUCUGAGGCCGAAGAAGAGGGUGUUGCAGAUAGGAUAGAUCCACAAUUGGCAAGCAUGUGUUAUACUCGGCUCCAUUGGGCCGUAGGGAUGGUGGAAGGAUAUAACACUUGGGAACACAGGUUAGUUCCUCUUCAGUAAGUGUCAUGGCACUAGUAAAUGAACCAUUUGGUGAAGCUGAGCUCCCUAUCAUUUUUCCCACCAUAUUGUGUUAGUCUUCCUUUAUGUUCCAUAUGGCUUUUAAUUACUCCCUAUUUAUAAGGAGGAAAAUAUGAAGAUAUGGUUGGAGUUUUUAAUUA
This is a long non-coding RNA of Solanum stenotomum, 679 nucleotides long. RefSeq lists it as uncharacterized. The record is from RefSeq and is a predicted model, not a curated record. NCBI's taxonomy places the organism in Eukaryota, Viridiplantae, Streptophyta, Magnoliopsida, Solanales, Solanaceae. The transcript has 2 exons.